UAACUAUAACGGUCCUAAGGUAGCGAAAUUCCUUGUCGGGUAAGUUCCGACCUGCACGAAUGGCGUAAUGAUGGCCAGGCUGUCUCCACCCGAGACUCAGUGAAAUUGAACUCGCUGUGAAGAUGCAGUGUACCCGCGGCAAGACGGAAAGACCCCGUGAACCUUUACUAUAGCUUGACACUGAACAUUGAGCCUUGAUGUGUAGGAUAGGUGGGAGGCUUUGAAGUGUGGACGCCAGUCUGCAUGGAGCCGACCUUGAAAUACCACCCUUUAAUGUUUGAUGUUCUAACGUUGGCCCCUGAUCGGGGUUGCGGACAGUGUCUGGUGGGUAGUUUGACUGGGGCGGUCUCCUCCUAAAGAGUAACGGAGGAGCACGAAGGUUGGCUAAUCCUGGUCGGACAUCAGGAGGUUAGUGCAAUGGCAUAAGCCAGCUUGACUGCGAGCGUGACGGCGCGAGCAGGUGCGAAAGCAGGUCAUAGUGAUCCGGUGGUUCUGAAUGGAAGGGCCAUCGCUCAACGGAUAAAAGGUACUCCGGGGAUAACAGGCUGAUACCGCCCAAGAGUUCAUAUCGACGGCGGUGUUUGGCACCUCGAUGUCGGCUCAUCACAUCCUGGGGCUGAAGUAGGUCCCAAGGGUAUGGCUGUUCGCCAUUUAAAGUGGUACGCGAGCUGGGUUUAGAACGUCGUGAGACAGUUCGGUCCCUAUCUGCCGUGGGCGCUGGAGAACUGAGGGGGGCUGCUCCUAGUACGAGAGGACCGGAGUGGACGCAUCACUGGUGUUCGGGUUGUCAUGCCAAUGGCACUGCCCGGUAGCUAAAUGCGGAAGAGAUAAGUGCUGAAAGCAUCUAAGCACGAAACUUGCCCCGAGAUGAGUUCUCCCUGACUCCCUGAGAGUCCUGAAGGAACGUUGAAGACGACGACGUUGAUAGGCCGGGUGUGUAAGCGCAGCGAUGCGUUGAGCUAACCGGUACUAAUGAACCGUGAGGCUUAACCUU
Molecule: ribosomal RNA, 994 nt
Filed under: Escherichia coli KTE200
Lineage: Bacteria; Pseudomonadati; Pseudomonadota; Gammaproteobacteria; Enterobacterales; Enterobacteriaceae
Description: bacterial LSU rRNA
Rfam family: Bacterial large subunit ribosomal RNA
Source: RNAcentral